Molecule: RNA transcript, 2696 nt
Organism: Salvia splendens (bonfire salvia)
Lineage: Eukaryota; Viridiplantae; Streptophyta; Magnoliopsida; Lamiales; Lamiaceae
Gene name: dnaJ homolog subfamily C member 7
Exons: 3
Source: RefSeq, a predicted model, not a curated record
UUCAAAUCAAUCAGUUCAAAUAUGAGUAUAAACCCCAAAACCUAAACCUAAACCCAAAAAAAAAGGUGCAAAGGAGAAAAGGGGCAAAGUGUAGAAAUCCAAAUCAACACUUCGCCGUCUUCCCUUCCAUUUCAAGCAAAUGUUUUUUUUUCCUGGAAUCAUUCGUAUGUUUUCUGUGCUGGCGACGGCAUAAUUCACUGAAUAAUAUCUCAGCUCUGAAACCUAAUUAUUCCGAAAUCCACCGUCCCGCCGAAGUCCGAGUUUCAAAAUGUCGCCACCGGUGAUCGCGCAGCAGCCUGCUUUCGGAUUCGCUCAACCUGAUUCAGCUCAGAGCUCAGAGUCUGGGGGGAACUUUAAUUUCUCUUCUGCUUCGACUGAUGCUGCUCGAUUUGAUUACUCGAAAACCGGUCCCGAUAAACCGCUCAUUUCGGGCCGAUCCAGUCCGAGAUUAAUGAAGAUGAGGAGGCGGAAAAUGCCAGAUGGUGUAAAAACUGAUCUGGGAUUGAAUGGGUUUAGUGGUAGUGGUGGUGAGAAAGAUUUUGAAGGGAAAUUGGGGGGUUCUUUCGGGAUUAAUAAUGAGAGUUUGGGAUCGAAUGGAGGUGAGGAAAAGAGUCGUGGUUUGAAUGAAAACGUGGAUAGAUUUGGGAACGGAUUUGGUUUUGAUGUAGACCUGAAUAAUUCUUUUUCUGGAUUUGGAUCAGGAAAAUUUACGCCCUUGGUUGAUGCCACCAAGGAUACCAUGCCGAGCAAUCGGCAGUUAAGAAAGAGCGAUCUUUCAUCUGGUUUUGAUAUAGGUAGCUCAAAUUUUGGGCAAAAGGAAUGUGGGAGUUUUGUUUUUGGAGCUUGUAAGGAGGCCCCUGUAUCAAAUCCGGAUUUGUGUGGGCAGUUUGUCUUUGGUGUUGGUGACAGUGCGUGUAGUCGUGAUUCGAGUUUCAAUAUGAAGGAUGCGAGUGACUCAGCUUCACAAGUCAAGUUAGAGCAACAGGGUUCACAUAAUAAGUCCAGUUUGAGUUCGAAUGCUGAUGAGUUUGUGAAGUUUAAUGCUGUCAAAUUUGAAAUUGGACGUGCUAGUAGAACUGAUAAAGUUGUAGGAAGCACGAUCCAUGACAUAAGGGGUAAAGUUAAAUUGGAUAGUUCUGGGGCUUCUGAAAAGGUUAGCAACGACCCUGUCUUGAAGUUUCCAUUCAAUGUGAGUGAUGGAAGUAGCAACGAUCGUGAGAAUUUUGUGUUUACAGAAAACACUGACUUCAAGUUCAACAUAGGAUUGGGAAAUAAAUCCUCUGGUGGAAAAGUGGAUAUGCCUAAUUUUCCAAAGAGUGGGAAAGAAAAUGCAGAGGUUGGAUCUCAGUCUCACGUGAAUGGUGUUUUCAUUUUUGGAGGACUGAAAGGCAAACAAGGCAUUCAUUCUGGUGGAAGUACUAAGCCUGUUAGUGAGAUGAAUGAAUUGAAUAUGGGAAAGGCUGAAGAAAGUAAUAUCAAGUUUCAAACUAGUGGUAAAUCAGGUGGUUCUUUUGAGCAAGGUCCUACAUAUGGCAUAUUGAAUGAGAUGAAGAAACUGAACAUUGGUGAUCCUAAAGUGGAUACUACAGGGUCUGGAAGUUUUAGUUGUAAUUCUGCAUCAGGGGCUGAUAAUUUAUUUGUGUUUGGAGGCAACCAGCAGGACUCUGGUUUUGUAUAUGAGAAUCGUCCUAGUAUGAACCGGAACACUCCAAAUUUGAGUCGCUUCUCCCAGAGUAACUCUAAGUCGACUAGGACUUACUCAACUUCCGUUGGAAUGGGCUUCAAUCUGAACAAUGGUUUCCAAGAGGUGCCAUCUAUUGAUAAAGAUAAGAAUGACAACAUUAGAGACAAACUGGCUGGAUUAGGCUCAGAUGCAGAUUGCAUCACACCAGAUAUGAAAUUUGCAUUUUCGAGCAACAAUUUGUUCCCAGGUGUAGAUAAGUUAGGUAACACAAAAUUUAGAUCAGUCAAAGGCAAAACAUCAAAGAGAAAUGGAAAGCUAGGACAAAGAACCUUUGUCCAGCAGUUGUUUCCACAGAGUCAGAUGUUUAAGGAAGGCAGUUCCCUGCAAAAUCAUACAUCUCCUGGUUGUGGUUCACCCAUGGAUUUUUCACCAUAUCAAGAUACAAGUGCCAGCAAUGCACCAGAGGCAGAUACUGCAUCGGGAUUAAAAGUAGAUUCUGCUGCAAACCAGAAGAAUAUUUCAGAUGACUGGGAAAAUCCUGAAGAUGAUAAGAGCAAUUCAGUUUGCUCUCCUUCAUUGCCUGCAGAAGAUGGCCUGUCAGCAAUAAAACGCAAAUACAAGAAAAAAUAUAGAUUGAAAGUUGGUUUGAAUCCCACUGUCCAAGGAAACAAUUCUAGAAAAGAAAAUGUUAGGCUGGAACCCAGUGGGCCUUCUAAUGAACUAUGUGAGCAUUGGCGAAUGAGGGGGACCACUUUUACUCUGCUAUAGCAACCGUGCAGCCACACGAAUGUCACUUUCAAGGAUGAGGGAAGCCAUAGCAGAUUGUACAAAAGCAUCUGAGCUAGACCCAGACUUUAUUAAAGUUAUAUUAAGAGCUGGAAAUUGCUAUUUGGUAUUGGGAGAAGUUGAAGAUGCCAUCCAGUGUUACAGAAAAUGCUUAGGAGCUGAGAACAGCAUUUGCUUGGAUAGGAGAUUUACAAUUGAAGCUGCUAGUAGCCUGCAAAAGGCAGAG